Molecule: ribosomal RNA, 208 nt
Filed under: uncultured bacterium
Lineage: Bacteria
Description: partial 16S ribosomal RNA
Rfam family: Bacterial small subunit ribosomal RNA
Source: RNAcentral
CGUGUAGGCGGUUGGCUAAGUCAGAUGUGAAAUCCCUUGGCUUAACUAAGGAACGGCAUUUGAAACUAGCUAACUAGAGUACAGGAGAGGAAAGUGGAAUUCCCAGUGUAGAGGUGAAAUUCAUAGAUAUUGGGAGGAACACCGGUAGCGAAGGCGGCUUUCUGGCCUGAUACUGACGCUGAGACGCGAAAGCGUGGGUAGCAAACAG